This 720-nucleotide ribosomal RNA is filed under the name uncultured bacterium. RNAcentral's name for it is "bacterial SSU rRNA". It matches the Rfam family "Bacterial small subunit ribosomal RNA", at positions 29 to 743 of the family's 1533-position model. The record is from RNAcentral.
AUGAACGCUGGCGGCAUGCCUAACACAUGCAAGUCGAACGCGAAAGUCGCUUCGGUGGCGAGUAGAGUGGCGGACGGGUGAGUAACGCGUGGGAAUCUACCUCGUAGUGGGGGACAACCCGGGGAAACCCGGGCUAAUACCGCAUACGUCCUACGGGAGAAAGGGGGCCUCUGCUUGCAAGCUCUCGCUAUGAGAUGAGCCCGCGUCGGAUUAGCUUGUUGGUGGGGUAAAGGCCCACCAAGGCGACGAUCCGUAGCUGGUCUGAGAGGAUGAUCAGCCACACUGGGACUGAGACACGGCCCAGACUCCUACGGGAGGCAGCAGUGGGGAAUAUUGGACAAUGGGCGCAAGCCUGAUCCAGCAAUGCCGCGUGUGUGAAGAAGGCCUGCGGGUUGUAAAGCACUUUCAGCCGGGAAGAAAAGCCUGUGGUUAAUAGCCGCGGGUCAUGACGUUACCGGCGCAAGAAGCACCGGCUAACUCCGUGCCAGCAGCCGCGGUAAUACGGAGGGUGCGAGCGUUAAUCGGAAUCACUGGGCGUAAAGCGCGCGUAGGCGGCUUGAUAAGUCAGAUGUGAAAGCCCCGGGCUCAACCUGGGAAUUGCAUUUGAUACUGUCUGGCUAGAGUCUGGUAGAGGGGGGUGGAAUUCCAGGUGUAGCGGUGAAAUGCGUAGAUAUCUGGAGGAACAUCAGUGGCGAAGGCGACCCCCUGGACCAAUACUGA